CCCUCUCCAACAUACAAUCAAUCAUCGCCAGACUUGCUCUCUCCCCUUUCGCGAUCACCAUGUCGAUCAGACACCGAGCCCGCUGGGAGUCCGACUUUCCCCACAAAUCCACUACGGAUCCU
Long non-coding RNA from Gadus macrocephalus (Pacific cod), 122 nucleotides. RefSeq lists it as uncharacterized. Lineage: Eukaryota; Metazoa; Chordata; Actinopteri; Gadiformes; Gadidae. The record is from RefSeq and is a predicted model, not a curated record. The transcript has 2 exons.